GGCUAGUCCCGAGAAAGUAAGUUUACCAUUGAUUACAACUAGUUGCAGAUUUCUUUGUUUCCUUCUCCACUCCCACUGACUCACUUGACUGGCCUAAA
Molecule: Y RNA, 98 nt
Filed under: Papio anubis (olive baboon)
Lineage: Eukaryota; Metazoa; Chordata; Mammalia; Primates; Cercopithecidae
Description: Y RNA (ENSPANG00000042824.1)
Rfam family: Y RNA
About the family: Y RNAs are components of the Ro ribonucleoprotein particle (Ro RNP), in association with Ro60 and La proteins.
Source: Rfam by way of RNAcentral